Molecule: ribosomal RNA, 378 nt
Filed under: uncultured eukaryote
Lineage: Eukaryota
Description: partial 18S ribosomal RNA
Rfam family: Eukaryotic small subunit ribosomal RNA
Source: RNAcentral
CAAUAGCGUAUAUUUAAGUUGUUGCAGUUAAAAAGCUCGUAGUUGGAUUUCGGGUGGGACGCAGCGGUCUCGCAUUGCGUUUGUACUGCUGCAGCCCUCCUUCUUGCCGGGGGCGGCCUCUCGGACUUCACUGUCUGGGGGUCAGAAUCGGCGAUGUUACUUUGAGUAAAUUAGAGUGUUCAAAGCAAGCUUACGUUCUGAAUAUAAUAGCAUGGGAUAACACGACAGGACUCUGGCCUAUCGUGUUGGUCUAUAGGACCAGAGUAAUGAUUAAGAGGGACAGUCGGGGGCAUUCGUAUUCCGUUGUCAGAGGUGAAAUUCUUGGAUUUACGGAAGACGAACAUCUGCGAAAGCAUUUGCCAAGGAUGUUUUCAUUGA